Molecule: long non-coding RNA, 308 nt
Organism: Armigeres subalbatus
Lineage: Eukaryota; Metazoa; Arthropoda; Insecta; Diptera; Culicidae
Exons: 3
Source: RefSeq, a predicted model, not a curated record
CUUGAGUCUAAUGUAAACAUUCUUAUUCGUUCGACUUUGAAAUUCCGUAUCACUAGAUUUUCCGAAUAUUUGAAAAGUAUACCGGUGAUUCUAACAAGAUGACAGUUUUUAAAAAGGAUCAUUAAUAAAGCGACUAGAUGGAAAUCUCCCGAACACUCUGAGGAGCAGAAUUGUAUCAUUAUUUCGGCGGCUUAAAGCAACUCCAUGAUACUCGGAGAAGCGAGAGAAGCAAGGUUGAUACUAGCUACAAGUCAUAUUCCAAAUACCCGCUGUUGUUAUUUAACCGGCCACCGUGGAAAUCAGACUCA